UUCCAUCCUUACGGGUUUUUCUCCUUCUCUUAUUGGUGGCCAUGUGUUAUUCUUUCUGCUUUUUUUUUUCUCUCUCUCUCUUUUCGCUGCCCAAGUAUUUUUCUCCAAAUAGAAAUUCAAACAUUGUGGGUUGUCGAGGCAAGAAAGCAAUAGGCAACUUUGAUAUGUGGACUCAACGCAUGCAGCUAUCUCACGGUUUACAUAGUAGCUAGUAGCUACUUCCUAUAUUGGACUUGGACUUUUGGGGAGUCUUAAUUUUCAUAAACCAUGAUUACUCUCUUUAAGUUGGGAAAGAUCAUCUGGGAUUCCUUUCCGAGCUACUUAGGAGUUAGUACCUAUCCACCCGGCCGGGGAGCCAAGACUUGUUUUCUAUGUUCUUUCCUGUAAUAGCUCGAGUUCAGCAACGGGGAGCUUCUACUUUGGCCGGGCCGGUCAAAGAUCAAGAAUUGUACGCUCUACCAAGAAUGUUCAUGUCAUUCCGCAUGACUGCUGGAUCUGAGUCAUGAGUCAUGACAGAACUCGAUCGAUGAGCAGGUGCUCCAUCCACUCGCAUGAUUUGAUUUACAGAAAAGACGGUGGUAGAACAAAUCAACAACUCGAU
Molecule: long non-coding RNA, 601 nt
Organism: Rosa chinensis
Lineage: Eukaryota; Viridiplantae; Streptophyta; Magnoliopsida; Rosales; Rosaceae
Exons: 3
Source: RefSeq, a predicted model, not a curated record